This 656-nucleotide ribosomal RNA is filed under the name uncultured bacterium gp3. RNAcentral describes it as "bacterial SSU rRNA". It matches the Rfam family "Bacterial small subunit ribosomal RNA", at positions 131 to 816 of the family's 1533-position model. The record is from RNAcentral.
UAUUAGUGGGGAAUAACCCUGGGAAACCGGGGCUAAUACCGCAUAAGCUCGUAAGAGGAAAGCAGCAAUGCGCUGAAAGAGGAGUCCGCGGCCGAUUAGCUAGUUGGCGGGGUAAUGGCCCACCAAGGCGAAGAUCGGUAGCCGGCCUGAGAGGGCACACGGCCACACUGGCACUGAAACACGGGCCAGACUCCUACGGGAGGCAGCAGUGGGGAAUCUUGCACAAUGGAGGAAACUCUGAUGCAGCGACGCCGCGUGAGCGAUGAAGCCCUUCGGGGUGUAAAGCUCUUUCUACGGGGAACGAUAAUGACGGUACCCGAAGAAGAAGCUGCAGCUAACUACGUGCCAGCAGCCGCGGUAAUACGUAGGCAGCAAGCGUUGUUCGGAAUUACUGGGCGUAAAGAGUGUGUAGGCGGUGUUCUAAGUGUGGUGUGAAAUCUCCCGGCUCAACUGGGAGGGUGCAUCGCAGACUGGAAUGCUAGAGUAUGGGAGAGGUAAGCGGAAUUCCUGGUGUAGCGGUGAAAUGCGUAUAGAUAUCAGGAGGAACACCUGUGGUGUAGACAGCUUACUGGACCAUGACUGACGCUGAGACACGAAAGCGUGGGUAGCAAACAGGAUUAGAUACCCUGGUAGUCCACGCCCUAAACGAUGCAUAU